RNAcentral lists this ribosomal RNA (253 nucleotides) under uncultured prokaryote. RNAcentral's name for it is "partial 16S ribosomal RNA". It matches the Rfam family "Bacterial small subunit ribosomal RNA", at positions 524 to 776 of the family's 1533-position model. The record is from RNAcentral.
UGCAGAGGGGGCAAGCGUUGUUCGGAAUUACUGGGCGUAAAGGGCGCGUAGGCGGCCUUCCAAGUCGAACGUGAAAUCCCCGGGCUCAACCCGGGAACUGCGUCCGAUACUGGAAGGCUUGAAUCCGGGAGAGGGAUGCGGAAUUCCAGGUGUAGCGGUGAAAUGCGUAGAUAUCUGGAGGAACACCGGUGGCGAAGGCGGCGUUCUGGACUGCUACUGACACUGAGAGACGAAAGCCAGGGGAGCAAACGGG